Molecule: ribosomal RNA, 465 nt
Filed under: uncultured bacterium
Lineage: Bacteria
Description: partial 16S ribosomal RNA
Rfam family: Bacterial small subunit ribosomal RNA
Source: RNAcentral
CCUACGUGGGGCAGCAGUAGGGAAUCUUCCACAAUGGGCGAAAGCCUGAUGGAGCAACGCCGCGUGGGUGAAGAAGGUCUUCGGAUCGUAAAACCCUGUUGUUAGAGAAGAAAGUGCGUGAGAGUAACUGUUCACGUUUCGACGGUAUCUAACCAGAAAGCCACGGCUAACUACGUGCCAGCAGCCGCGGUAAUACGUAGGUGGCAAGCGUUCUCCGGAGUUAUUGGGCGUAAAGGGAACGCAGGCGGUCUUUUAAGUCUGAUGUGAAAGCCUUCGGCUUAACCGGAGUAGUGCAUUGGAAACUGGGAGACUUGAGUGCAGAAGAGGAGAGUGGAAGUCCAUGUGUAGCGGUGAAAUGCGUAGAUAGUGGGUAGAACGCCAGUGGCGAAGGCGACUAUCUGGCUGUACAUGGACGCUGAGGCUCGAAAGCAUGGGGAUCAAACAGGAUUAGAUACCCUAGUAGUG